Molecule: ribosomal RNA, 383 nt
Filed under: marine copepod environmental sample
Lineage: Eukaryota; Metazoa; Arthropoda; Copepoda
Description: SSU rRNA
Rfam family: Eukaryotic small subunit ribosomal RNA
Source: RNAcentral
AGCUCCAAUAGCGGAUAUUAAAGUUGAGGAGGUGAAAAAGAAAGGAGUAGGAAGUCAAGAGACAAGAAGAGGGUAAAGUAGAAGGAUUAAAGCUGAGUAGGCUGGGCGUUUGUCGGAGGUUUAGGGGUGCUCUUGAUCGAGUGUCUCUGGAUGCCAGCAGGUUUACUUUGAAAAAAUUAGAGUGCUCAAAGCAGGCUAAAAUGCCUGAAUAUUCGUGCAUGGAAUAAUAGAAUAGGAUGUCGAUCCUAUUUUGUUGGUUUUCGGGACUCGACAUAAUGAUAAAUAGGGACAGUCGGGGGCAUUUGUAUUCAAACGACAGAGGUGAAAUUCUUGGACCGUUUGAAGACAAACUACUGCGAAAGCAUUUGCCAAGAAUGUUUUCA